This 940-nucleotide long non-coding RNA is filed under the name Haliotis rubra (blacklip abalone). Its description in RNAcentral is "uncharacterized LOC124287187, transcript variant X2". The record is from RNAcentral. Lineage: Eukaryota; Metazoa; Mollusca; Gastropoda; Lepetellida; Haliotidae.
CAUCUGAAGUGUCAUGUUUGAUCCCAUCCCAACACCAUUCACUUAUGUCCAUGCAGAGCAGGGCGGAGUACAGGAUGAGGCUGUUCCCCUCACUGGCACGUGUCCUUGUCAUGGUUUUCGCGAUACAAGUGGAAGACGCAUCAGAAACAAGUACAUCCUGCCCCAACGCUGCCUGUAUCGGUCAGGCUGUCAACAUCACGUGUGACAUCACAGGAGUAUACGAGUCUAUUGGGUGGUCCCGGCCGGAUAAUAUUGAAGUGGUAACCUGCCUGCGGAACGGUGGUAAAUGCUACAUAAACGUUCCGAAUUAUGAGACAGUCUUAGUUUCCGAUGAAAACACAUACUUCGCAUCAAGGAGUUUUCGACACGUGAUUCAGGCACCUGGAAUUGUCGUGAUGGCACGAAUCCUCUCAAGAAAACUUGUCACGUGACUGCACAUGAGGACCUGGGUGAUGUUGCAUCAAGACUGCACCUUAAUUGUGCACCACUGAAGAAUGAGACGUUCCGUGUUUUGGACAUAUGUACGGGGUUGAGCGCUGAUCCAAGAGUUAACGUGACGUUGAAGCUCAUGGAUGGUGAACGGACAUAUAAUGGGUUGACAGGCGAUGUUGCAGUUCCAGUUCCCGACGCAGCCCAUGAUGUCAAUACAACAUGUUGUGUGGUUGGUCCUGGAACAAACUGCCUCGACCUCUCCCAACGGCAACGGACAGCCGUGUGUUCACGCCCAGGUAAACCUAAAGCGAAUUCUCACAUGCGUUCGACAGGUCAUGCAGAUGAACCCACGUUGAGUGGUGCAGUGGUCAUCGUUGUUGGUGUGAUGUUGGCGGUUAGAGGCUUGUGAAUUACCUUGGCUUACCUCUUUUGAAGGAAGAUCAGACGAUAUCAUACGAGUCAGUAUGAACACCUGGCAAUGGAGACAAUAAAACGUUCCUAAAUGACA